This 816-nucleotide ribosomal RNA is filed under the name uncultured bacterium. RNAcentral's name for it is "bacterial SSU rRNA". It matches the Rfam family "Bacterial small subunit ribosomal RNA", at positions 609 to 1426 of the family's 1533-position model. The record is from RNAcentral.
UCAACCANUGUAGGCUUUGGAAACUGUUUAACUUGAGUGCAGAAGGGGAGAGUGGAAUUCCAUGUGUAGCGGUGAAAUGCGUAGAUAUAUGGAGGAACACCGGUGGCGAAAGCGGCUCUCUGGUCUGUAACUGACGCUGAGGCUCGAAAGCGUGGGGAGCGAACAGGAUUAGAUACCCUGGUAGUCCACGCCGUAAACGAUGAGUGCUAGGUGUUAGGUCCUUUCCGGGACUUAGUGCCGCAGCUAACGCAUUAAGCACUCCGCCUGGGGAGUACGACCGCAAGGUUGAAACUCAAAGGAAUUGACGGGGGCCCGCACAAGCGGUGGAGCAUGUGGUUUAAUUCGAAGCAACGCGAAGAACCUUACCAGGUCUUGACAUCCCGAUGCCCGCUCUAGAGAUAGAGCUUUACUUCGGUACAUCGGUGACAGGUGGUGCAUGGUUGUCGUCAGCUCGUGUCGUGAGAUGUUGGGUUAAGUCCCGCAACGAGCGCAACCCUUAUUGUUAGUUGCCAUCAUUCAGUUGGGCACUCUAGCGAGACUGCCGGUAAUAAACCGGAGGAAGGUGGGGAUGACGUCAAAUCAUCAUGCCCCUUAUGACCUGGGCUACACACGUGCUACAAUGGCUGGUACAACGAGUCGCAAGCCGGUGACGGCAAGCUAAUCUCUGAAAACCAGUCUCAGUUCGGAUUGUAGGCUGCAACUCGCCUACAUGAAGUCGGAAUCGCUAGUAAUCGCGGAUCAGCACGCCGCGGUGAAUACGUUCCCGGGCCUUGUACACACCGCCCGUCACACCACGAGAGUUUGUAACACCCGAAG